RNAcentral lists this ribosomal RNA (460 nucleotides) under uncultured bacterium. RNAcentral describes it as "partial 16S ribosomal RNA". It matches the Rfam family "Bacterial small subunit ribosomal RNA", at positions 338 to 795 of the family's 1533-position model. The record is from RNAcentral.
CCUACGGGUGGCAGCAGUGAGGAAUAUUGGUCAAUGGACGAGAGUCUGAACCAGCCAAGUAGCGUGAAGGAUGACUGCCCUAUGGGUUGUAAACUUCUUUUAUAUGGGAAUAAAAUGUUCCACGUGUGGGAUUUUGUAUGUACCAUAUGAAUAAGGAUCGGCUAACUCCGUGCCAGCAGCCGCGGUAAUACGGAGGAUCCGAGCGUUAUCCGGAUUUAUUGGGUUUAAAGGGAGCGUAGGUGGAUUGUUAAGUCAGUUGUGAAAGUUUGCGGCUCAACCGUAAAAUUACAGUUGAAACUGGCAGUCUUGAGUACAGUAGAGGUGGGCGGAAUUCGUGGUGUAGCGGUGAAAUGCUUAGAUAUCACGAAGAACUCCGAUUGCGAAGGCAGUUCACUGGACUGCAACUGACACUGAGGCUCGAAAGUGUGGGUAUCAAACAGGAUGAGAUACCCUAGUAGUC